Molecule: long non-coding RNA, 6970 nt
Filed under: Heterocephalus glaber (naked mole-rat)
Lineage: Eukaryota; Metazoa; Chordata; Mammalia; Rodentia; Bathyergidae
Description: lncRNA (ENSHGLG00100036904.1)
Source: RNAcentral
GAACUCAGGACCUUGCACUUGUGAGGCAGGCGUGGCGCCACUGAGCUAAAUCCCCAGCCAGUGUAUUUAGUUUUUUAAAAAGUUACUGGAGAGGGCCGGGGAUUUAGCUCAGUGGUUUCGCUGCCUGCUGCGCAAGCGCAAGGACCUGAGUUUGAUUCGUGAUACCAAAAAAACCCAAACCAAACAAAAAAAGUUAUUGGAGGAAAGAAGGUGCUGAUUCAGACCAAUCAGAAGAUGGUAAGCAGCAUUUUAAUGCAGUUUUAAAUUUUUUAGCCUAAAAAAUAACUAAUGGUGACGAGUAUGUAGCUCAGUGGUAAAGUGCUUACCUAGUGUUCAUGAAGCCCUGGGUUUCUUUUGCAUUCCCAUCCCUAAAAAUUUAAUAUUGAAAACUAAAGAUACAAAAGGCAUCUUUUAGUCUGUCAGAUAUUUGUUCGGUAGAUUUUCAGAAAUUGACCAGUUUCGUAAACCAAAGAGAAAUAGUGUAAAUAAUACAAGAGCAAGUAUGGGGAUUUGAAAAUGCUAUGUCCACUUUUAAAGUACAGCCCAGAUUAUUUAGUAGUAACUAGUAAAAGUUCACUCAAAUUCAGAUUUUCAAACUUAUUUAGCACUUUUUAAAAAAAGUUACUUGAAUGUUCAGUUUAGAUUUAAAAAUAAGGGCUCAGUUCAUGGAGCUAUAUAUGAGCUAUAUAUGAUAUUAGAAUGCUUUUAUCAUUGUUAUUUAUUUAUUUUUAUUUUGGUACUGGGGUUCAAACUCAGGACCUUGUGCUUGUGAGGCAGGCGUGGCGCCACUGAGCUAUAUCUCCGGCCCUUUUAUUAGUAUUUUUUUUCUUUUAUUAGUAUUUUUGAAUAGGGAAGAGAACAGUAAUUGUUAUAAAACCAUAACAGUGAUCUGGGUUGCAGCUUAGUGUUAGAGCACAAACUUAGCAUGCACAAAGCCUUGGGCCUAAUCCCCUCCCCACUGAAAGAAAAGAUUCUGUUGACAUUUUCCUUUGAAAUUUUGUUAGCCUUUGAUCCAGGCAACUUCUGCAGCUCCAGUCACUGUUCUGCAUCGCUACACAAAGGGAAGGUGGAAUAAAUACCCUUCUUUAGAAUAACUUCCAAUCACUUUAUGUCUUACACUCAGCUGGUGACCAUAUUUCUAAAGUUCACUCAUGGGACCAAAAAAUAGGAAGAAAGAGAGUGGUGACCAGAUAAUCAUUGGCUUUUUGUUUUUUUUUAUUUUUUGGUACUGGGGAUCGAACUUGGGUCCUUGCUUUUGCACAGCAGGAAGUGAAACUACUGAGCUAAAUCCCCGUUCUGAUAAUUUAUUUUUAAAGUAAUAAUUCCUUGUACUAUGGAUCUGUCUAGAUUCAACACAGAUUUUUUUUUUCCCCCCUUAAGUUCCAGGAGCUUGUUGCAGCAUUUUUUUUUUUGGUACCAGGGAUUGAAUUUGGGUCCUUGCGCUUGCGCAGCAGGUGGUGAAACCACUGAGCUAAAUCCCCGGUCCUUUGCAGUGUCUUUUUAAAGAAAAUGAGAAGAAUGCCCACAAAUGUUAGGACAGAAUUAUGGAGGGAAAAUACUUUCUCAAAUUAAAAAUGGACUGGAGGAUACAGCUCAGCAGUAAAUCACUUGCUUAACAUGCAUAAGGCCCUCAGUUUGAUCCCCAGCACUAUGGCAGAAAAAAUGAAAACUGAAAGGUUGCGGGGAAUGGAGUAAAGAUCAGCGCUGGGAGGCAGAGGAUGUGGUAUAAAUAAGCAUUGAUUUGUAGUUUUGUUUCUAUGUAGAUUACUUACAACUAACGUAAAAUGAAUGUUUGAUUUCUUGAGCAUGCAGAUGGUGAAGGAUGGAAAGCCAACCUGGAGGCACAAAUUUCAGCAGAUGCUCUGCUUCCAGGUAGUGGAAGUGACUUAUUUUCUUUUUGUGGUUCUGGGUAUUGAAGCCAGGACCUCACCCAUGCUAGGCAAAUGCUCUAACACUGAGCUACAUCCCAGACCUAGUAUAAAUGAUUUUUUUCUUUUCAGUACUAGGGAAGGGGAGAGAGCCAAGGUCCUCUACCACUGAGCUAUGUCCCCAGCCCUUUUUAGUUUUAUUUAUUUUUUCUAUUUUGAGACAGGGUCCUGCUAAAUUGCAGGCUGGACUCAAACUUGUGAUUCUCCUGCUUGGCCUCUCAACUAGCUGGGAUUACAGGCAUGCAUCACUAUACCCAGCCUUCAAAAAUGACUUUUUAACAGUGCUAAUAUCUUCAAUCCAAAAGCAACACCAUCUCCAUCCAAAGGGAAUCUUUAAAUCUCAAGAUGGAUCACCUUCACCAUGAUUAGACUGCAGAUAGAAUAAGGCCUCAUGAAGAUAUUUUUGGUGGCUUUAAAUUGUUGGGAACAGAUACAUAGAGAAGAAACUGCAACUAUGCUCUUUUUUUUUCCUGGUUCCUCAGUCUCCUGAUAUAGUUAACAUUUCACAACUAAAAUAACCUUAAUGAACACUUGAUUAUACUUUUUUUGAAGAUACAUUUCAUGACCUCAGACUGCAGAAACUGCCAUCUCCUAGGCACAGUUUACAUUUGAUCCUUUGCUUAUGUCCCGAGAGCAUCGCAUAUUGGGAGACAUUGCUUUUAUAAAGGCAGUGGCUGCUGGGCCUGGUGAUGCACACCUAUAAUCCCAGCACAUAACAUCAGUGGCCAGCUUGCCUCAGUGUUAAUAAGGACCAGCAUGCAGGUUCAGUUUUGCUCUUCACUUUGGUCCUGAAUUGAGAGCUGAGUCAAGAGAAGUCAGCAGGUCUGCUCAAAAAUGUACGGGUCUUGGGGCCAGAGAUGUAGCUCAGUAGUUCCACUACCUGCCUCACAAGCACAAGGUCCUGAGUUCGAUCCCUGGUACAAAAAAAAUGUAUGAGUCUUUUUUUUUCCCCAAAAGACAGAUUAUUAUUGAGCCCACUUCGGUCAAGGAGCACUGAAUAUUGUGUUAAAAUAGUACUUUACUUCAUGCUUGAAAUUAACAUUUUAAAGAAUCAUGUAAAUAGUUUAAAGGUAGCUGGAUUUAUUGUAGCCAAAUGAGAAAUACAGCUGUUAAUGAGAGGGCAUAACUUUGUGUAGUUCUUAAUUAUUUACAUCAUUAGAGAAACACAAAUAUGACUAGUUCAGAGCAAUUUAACUUUGCAGUGAGAGUUUCUGCGUACCUUUAUAUGUGGGGAUAGCUGAGAUCCUUGGAAUUUACUUUGAGUGAAUGAUGGAAAUACCCGAGAAAACGUAGUGCUAGGACCUCUACUUUUUCUCAGGUCCAGUCACCAACUUCCUACAAACCAGGCAUGAAGAAAAACAAAAAAUAAAUUCUCCAGAAAAUAGGAUGCUUCUCUUCACCCAGGCACAGGUAUAAAGGGUACAUUUCUCAGGGCUCCCUUCUUUACUUUGAGUCUCUUAAGAGGUAUUUGAGAUGUCAGUAAGCUAAAAUUAAAUGUAUUAAUAUGGGAAGAUUGAAAUAUCAACAGAAAUGUUUGAUAGUAUAGGUGUUAUCAUUUACCUUGAAGGUAAAAUUUAUGCUGGAAAACAAGUCUGAAGGAUGAUCACUUUCAAAAUACAAACCUGGAAACUUCACCAUCAUUGGCUACUGUAACAACAAAAUUGCACAAACUAGGAUAUGUUAGAGCAAAAGUCUACCCAAGUCUGGUUUUUAACAGCUCUAAUCCAGGGUGCUUCUCAACUCUGUAACAAACAGUAUUUUAUUUUUGCCUUAUUUCCAGAUGCCAGCUUUAACACAUAUGCUCUACCCUAUUUUGAGCAGUGUAUUUUUGCUUUGAAAGGAAACUUGAAUGUGCAUUUUGUCUUCCUUUGAAUUACUUUUUGGGGCGGUCGUACUGGGGAUCUAACUCAGGACCUUGGCAGGUGGCGGAAGCACUGAGCUAAAUCCCCAGCCCUUGAAUGUUACUUUUAAUUGAACAGUAAGAAACUGAGCUCAGCAUUGACAGUCAGACUCUUAACUAAAUUUUCAACUUUUUCUGAGGUCAUCCUAAAUGAUUCCUUUUGUUUUUUUGUACCUGAGAUCGAACUCAGGACCUGUGCUUGCAAGGCAGGCAACGGCACCACUGAGCUAAAUCCUCAACUCCUUUCUUUUCUUUUUUAAAUUUAAUUUUGCUUUGUUUUUCUUUAUAAAGUGAAGAGUAUAUAACACGAGUCCCUUUUGCCCUGUACUAGUACAGUCUGGCAUCAGGAGCAGUAGUUGUUGCUCUUCUGAUUUUCAUUAAUGAAGUUUUAUGGGUUGGAAGAUCUAUUUUAUCCAGUGUUGAUUCUUUAAUUGGGCACUAUAAGUAAAUUCACUUGCUAUCCUGCUUAGUAUUUUAUAUUGAUAUUUUAUAUUUUAUAUUCCUUCUACUUCAGGAAUGGUAACCUAGGAAUAGCAACUGUGGAGUUGAAGGAUACUUUGAUCAUACUUUAAAUAACAGACAUUUUGAGGGUUUUUGGCUUUUAUAAAAACAAAACUCAGGAUCAUGUUCAUAGUUUUUUCAUUGCUUGUUGUUAGUGUUUAUUUAUUUAUUUAUUUUUGGUACUGGGGAUUGAACUCCGGUCCUUGUGCUUUUGAGGGAGGCGGUGGAACCACUGAGCUAAAUCUCCGGCCCUACUGUGUUUAUUAUUAAUGGAUUAAUAUCCUGCCCUUGUUCUUAAAGUAAUUUUAUAUGCUAAACUUUUGUUUUGUUUUCUAGCUUCUAAGAUAGAUAACAGUUAUUGCAAAGUACAUGUUUUUAAAUGAUCUCCAGUGUGGAUUGCUUCUGAGCCACUGAUGGAAUGAGUACUCCCGGAAGGAAUGUAUCAUUUGGAAUCCAGAAUCAUUCAUCAAGGAUAACUGCCUGAUCCUAUGAUUUCGUGACUGACGCUGAAAUGGAAGCCAACUGAUGCUGAAAUUUGGGGGAAAAUUACAUCUGAAGAAUGCAAGAGAAAGUAGGAAUUCAUUUCUAGCAUUCCCAAACCUGCCUUGUAUUGUCUACUGUACUAUAGUCAGAGGACAACAACUGAGUUCAUGGAAUUUGCCAGCUAAGCCUUACAACUGUCUUAAAUGUUCUUAGGAAAUACACUGAAAAGGUAAGUGAAUUGUCCAUUUAGAAGAAAGACUAAUAGGUAUUUUUAAGUCAGUUGUUAUAUUUUAAUAAAGACAGGGAGCUCCUUUAUUCCAAACUUCAAAGUCGUGCCCCUACUGGGUGACUUCAGUACUGUGGCAAACGUGGAGUUGUUCAACCAGCCUGGAGCUUUUCCUCUACUCAGCUACUAAGCCAGAACAUGCGUUGAAGUGCAUAGCAUGCUAAUUUCUGUUGUCUUGUUGUGCUCAAAUCCUUUUUUUUAAAAAAUUACUUUGUUUCAGAUGAGAUUUAGUUUUAUCACUCAGUAUAUAGAAAAGAGUGUUUAAUGUUUCAAAGAUUCAGCAUUACAUUUGCAUUAGAUAGAAUCAAGAAUAAAUUAAGGGUUUUAAAUGAUUUCUGUUAAUACCUACUUAUAUUAGUUUUGUGGAUUAUUAAAAAAUAUUAUUACAUUUAUUAUGUUCCUGUGUGAUAGGUAUUGUGCCAGGCCCUGGAAGAGGGACUAGCAUGCACAGUUUAUGUCCUUUGUUCAUACAAUACAGAUAGCAUUCUGGUUUAGAGAAUCAAGAUAUGAUAUAAAAAGGCUAAUUCCAUUUUCUCAUCAAUAAUUUACUCUGAUAACUACUAUGUUAACUUAGCAUAAUAAAUUCUUUAUGAAAGUGUCUUCGCUUGUGUGUUUAACAUUUAUUAAAUACUUUGUGCCAGGUAUUGUGUUAAACUCUUUACAUAUAUUUCUUUACUCAUAUCUCUUCUUUGAGGUAGGUACUAUUACUAAAACUCAUUUUCUAAGAAAAGUAGAGAAGCUAACUAACUUAACUUGUGCUGAGUUUGCUCUACCUAUGAUCUGGGACCAAUAUUUGGACCCAGGUAAGCUAAUUCCAGAAUCUACACUCUUUCUUUGGGUAUGAUGUUGAUAUGCAGUACCUGGCUAUGAGUAUCCAUAAACCAUUCCAAACUCUUAAUAGAAAUUUUCCCUAAAUUCUUCUCUAGCUCCAAGACAGUUUGCAUGCUGACCUUUCCUCUUACCCCAGGCCCCAAGUGUAAAGGACUGGAACAGAAGAGCAGAGCUUGGCAGUUACAUUUUAUAUUUAGGAUCUUGUCUCUCAGAUCCACCCCUUUUAUUUUUGGAAUGUGAGCAUUUUCUUUAGCUGCUAAAUCAUGAGAAAAUACAGCUGCUGAGAUUUUUCCUAGGAUUAAAAAAAAGAUUAGGCAUUGUUGAAGUGAAGAAAAAUUGCUCUGAGAACCACAGGUAGGUAAUUUGCCCCCUGUUGUAUGGAAAGCCCCUGCACCUCUGUCCAUUGUUUUAUACUUCUGUAAAUCUGAUUUUAACUUUAAUAAAGUGGUUUCUGAAGUGAGUGGGUUUUAUUUUGUCUCAUUUCCCAUUAGAUUCUGUAUCUCUUUUCACCUUAUGUAUAUUAUUGCUGUCCCCUUCAAAACUAAUGGUAUGAUUAAAAUGAAAGUACCUCCCAUAUACCUAGUACUGAUUAGCUUUAAAAAUACAUAUACAAAAAUACAUAUACAAGACUUUGUCUUAGCUCAGUGUGGGUUCUAUCCAAUAAUAAAACUCUAGAUUUUUGAACAAAAAGUCAGAAGUUGUAAAAUUACUGUGAACAGUGUUUCAUUGUGUAUCUCAAGCAAUUGUGACAAAAAGAAAUCUGCCCAAGUGAAAUCAAGUUAACUUUCUGUGAGUAAUGAAGUUAACUGCAGGAACAGUAUUGACCAUCUCUCUCUCAGAUUACUGAUUUUCAAACUUCAAUGUUAUGUGAAUAACCUGAGGUUUUGUUAAAAUGAAGAUUUUUAAAUCAGGGAAGUAGGUCUGGGGUAAAAAAAAGUUUUGUUGAAAUAUAAUUAAAAUAACAAAAUUCACUCUUUAAAAGUGUACAGUGGUUUUCAACAUGGAGAGUUUUACAACUAUUGCUACUUUUUAAUUUCUUCA